RNAcentral lists this ribosomal RNA (455 nucleotides) under Streptococcus sp. oral taxon 431. RNAcentral's name for it is "bacterial SSU rRNA". It matches the Rfam family "Bacterial small subunit ribosomal RNA", at positions 28 to 469 of the family's 1533-position model. The record is from RNAcentral. Lineage: Bacteria; Bacillati; Bacillota; Bacilli; Lactobacillales; Streptococcaceae.
GACGAACGCUGGCGGCGUGCCUAAUACAUGCAAGUAGAACGCUGAAGGAGGAGCUUGCUUCUCCGGAUGAGUUGCGAACGGGUGAGUAACGCGUAGGUAACCUGCCUGGUAGCGGGGGAUAACUAUUGGAAACGAUAGCUAAUACCGCAUAACAGUAGAUAUUGCAUGAUAUCUGCUUAAAAGGUGCAAUUGCAUCACUACCAGAUGGACCUGCGUUGUAUUAGCUAGUUGGUGGGGUAACGGCUCACCAAGGCGACGAUACAUAGCCGACCUGAGAGGGUGAUCGGCCACACUGGGACUGAGACACGGCCCAGACUCCUACGGGAGGCAGCAGUAGGGAAUCUUCGGCAAUGGACGGAAGUCUGACCGAGCAACGCCGCGUGAGUGAAGAAGGUUUUCGGAUCGUAAAGCUCUGGGGUAAGAGAAGAACGAGUGUGAGAGUGGAAAGUUCACAC